CGCACCUUCGGGUGAGCGGCGGACGGGUUAGUAACGCGUGGGAACAUACCCUUUUCUACGGAAUAGCCUCGGGAAACUGAGAGUAAUACCGUAUAAGCCCUUCGGGGGAAAGAUUUAUCGGGAAAGGAUUGGCCCGCGUUAGAUUAGAUAGUUGGUGGGGUAAUGGCCUACCAAGUCUACGAUCUAUAGCUGGUUUUAGAGGAUGAUCAGCAACACUGGGACUGAGACACGGCCCAGACUCCUACGGGAGGCAGCAGUGGGGAAUCUUAGACAAUGGGCGCAAGCCUGAUCUAGCCAUGCCGCGUGUGUGAUGAAGGUCUUAGGAUCGUAAAGCACUUUCGCCAGGGAUGAUAAUGACAGUACCUGGUAAAGAAACCCCGGCUAACUCCGUGCCAGCAGCCGCGGUAAUACGGAGGGGGUUAGCGUUGUUCGGAAUUACU
This 440-nucleotide ribosomal RNA is filed under the name Sulfitobacter sp. Ar-106. RNAcentral describes it as "bacterial SSU rRNA". It matches the Rfam family "Bacterial small subunit ribosomal RNA", at positions 67 to 555 of the family's 1533-position model. The record is from RNAcentral. Lineage: Bacteria; Pseudomonadati; Pseudomonadota; Alphaproteobacteria; Rhodobacterales; Roseobacteraceae.